UGAUAGUGCAAAGUACUGUGAAGGAAAGAUGAAAAGAAUUUUUGUAUAAAAAUUAAAAGAUUUUUAAAUUUAGUGAUAUAUUCAGUUUUAGCUUAUUGUUAAAACGUACCUUUUGUAUAAUGGACUAACGAGUUUAUACUAAUAGCGAGUAAAUUUAAAAAAUUACGUAUUGAAAAAUCUUUUUAAGUUAUUAGUGUAAGACCCGAAGCUAAGCGAUCUAUUUAUUAUUCAGUUGAAAAUUUAAUAAAUUGGAAGACUAAACUCAUAAAUGUUGCAAAAUUUUGAGAUAAAUAGUAAAUAGGGGUGAAAGGCUAAUCAAGCUUAGUUAUAGCUGGUUUUCUAUGAAAUCUAUUUUAGUAGAGUUAGUAAUUUAUAAAUUUAAUUAGGUAUAAUUAUUUCUUUUUAAAAUUAUUUAAAAUAGUUUAUAUUAGAAAAUUUUUUAAUAAAUUAAAUUAUAAUUACUAAACAGAUUAAUAGCGCUAAGGUUUUUAAUCAAAAGGGAAACAGCCCAGAUUAUAAAUUAAGGUAUUUAAAAUUAUUUAAUUUGUAAGGUUAAAUUAAAGUAUAGUAAUUAAAAGGUAAGCUUGGAAGCAGCUAUCCUUUAAAGAAAGCGUAAAAGUUCAUUAAUUACUACUUAAUUGUAAAUAUAUUAAAACUUUAAUUUAACUAAAAAUGUAUAGAAAUUAAAAUAAUUUACCGAAAUUAUAAAUCUAAAUAAAAGAUGGUAAUAGAAUAUGGUGUAUUUUGUAGUUUUUAUUGAAAAAUUUAAAUAAAAAAUCACUAUAGAUAAUGUUAGUAUUAGUAGUAGAUAUAAUGUGAAAAACAUUAUUGUUUAAUAAAUUAGAUUUAUUAUGUAAAGAUAAUCUUACAUAGUGUGGUUACUAACCUAAAAAUUAUAAAUAAUUUUAAUAGUUUGAUGGUAUAGAUGUGUUAAGUAAAUAGCUGUAGGCUUAUUAAUAUUUAAAAUUUUUAAUAAUAUUAAGUUUAUGGUUAUUUUAUAAAAAACUUAACAUAAUAUAAUAGUAUUAAGUCUAACGCAAGUAUUUUAGUUGAAAAAAUGAAAACAAAAAGAUUAAUAAUAUUGAAGGAACUCGGCAAAUUAACUUUGUAACUUCGGGAUAAAAAGGACUAAAUGUAAAUUAAAAAAAAGGGGGUAGCGACUGUUUAAUAAAAACAUAAGAUUUUGCUAAAUUUAAUAAAAUGAUGUAUAAGAUCUGACACCUGCCCAAUGCUGCAAGGUGAAAAAAAGUAGUAUUGCUGCUUUUAUAAACCCCAGUGAAUGGCGGCCGUAACCCUGACGGUCCUAAGGUAGCGAAAUUCCUUGACGGGUAAGUUCCGUCCUGCAUGAAUGGUGUAACGACUGCCCCGCUGUCUCCAAUAUUAGUCUUACGAAAUUGAAUUAGUCGUGAAGAUGCGACUUAUAUACAGUUAGACGGGAAGACCCUAUGCACCUUUACUAUAAUCUAUAUAUAAAAUUUAAAAUUUAUAAUCUAGUUAUGUAGGAAAUUUAUAUUAAAUAUGGAAAACUACUUUACUAAUUUUAAAUUUUUAAAUUUAUACAAACAUAGUUAAAUAAAUUAUAUUUAGAUUGGUAGUUUGGCUGGGGCGGCCACCUCCUAAAAAGUAACGGAGGUGUAUAUAAGUUUUUAAAUUAUUAUAAUUUUUAUUAUUAUGAAUUGAAAUAAAUUUUUUAAAAUUGAUUAUUAUACAGACAAGUAUAGUAAGGAGUAUUUCUAUUAUAUUGACCCGGUAUAUUUUAGUAGAAAAAUUAUCGAGUAACGAAUAAAAGGUACGCUAGGGAUAACAGGCUAAUGAAUUUUGAGAGUUCUUAUUGAUAAAUUCGUUUGGCACCUCGAUGUCGGCUUAUCACAUCCUGGUAGUGUAUAAGCUAUCAAGGGUUCGGCUGUUCGCCGAUUAAAGUGGUACGUGAGCUGGGUUUAGAACGUCGUGAG
This 1952-nucleotide ribosomal RNA is filed under the name Anophryoides haemophila. RNAcentral's name for it is "partial Bacterial large subunit ribosomal RNA". It matches the Rfam family "Bacterial large subunit ribosomal RNA", at positions 485 to 2625 of the family's 2925-position model. Lineage: Eukaryota; Ciliophora; Oligohymenophorea; Philasterida; Glauconematidae. The record is from RNAcentral.